CUAGCAAGUGAGCUUUGUUCUCUGUAGAAUUCUAAAGACUCCAUGCUAAUUUUAAGCAAAGAGAAAUUGUCUUUUUGAUUACUUUUAUGACUUGCGACUAUCUAAGGCAAGUCCUUUAGAUAUUGAGUUUGGAAUGUGUCAAAUAGAUGGCGUGAAAGAAUGUUGUUUGUUGUGUCAGAUAUGGGCUUAUGACGUCAAAAGUUCAGCGACAUCUUCUUCGAAAAUUACCAAUGAAUUCGUUGGAGAAAAUGUGAAAGGUUCAUGAAGUCUGUACUGUCAACUAUUGUGAAUCCUGGUAUCCUAACUGAAUAUGUCAUCCUAAUGACAGAGUGGAUUCGAAAAUUUACCGUAAGUCUGAAAUAGCUAACUAAAUCAUUUGUAUGUUGUGUCAUAGGAUAGUGAAAGGUGAAAGGCGUGAGGAAUUCAAAUUUAGCUGCUGCGUGCUGUCUGCAAGGAAGCAAUCCAAUUGGCUGUCGCUAGGUGGCGCGAGCAUCUUCGGCCAUUUUGUUCCUUGACGAAUGAGAAGUGGGAUGCUGCAUGCUGGUCGUGACGUUUCCCAUGAUGAAAAUGUAAAGGUGAUUUCAAUUCCACUUGGUCAAGCAAUCUAACCAGAAUCUAACUCGGAAGCCUGUCCAUUUUGCUGAAAUGUCGUGCCUCGUGUGUCUUGCUGCCUGCACCCAGUCGUAUGUCUCGUGCCAUGCAAAAGCAAAAGUCCGCUGUUGGUUACCUUGUUGCAGCCAGGUGGUGAAAGAUGUGAUGGAGACUAAUUGAACUGUUGUAUGCAGCGUGUGGUUCCAGUGUUAUCCAGAAGUAGCUGUGCUGGCGGUAUCCUGAACUAGCCUGAAGUUGCCAGUGAUAUCCGGGUCGCUGACUUUAAAUAUUUUUUCUGUUUGCAUUUUGUGUAUUUUGCCCUGCCAAUGUUAUCCUGUGUUUGAAAUCUGUUCUCUUUCGUGUUUUUUUUUGCUCUACCAGUGAUUUCCUGUGUUGCAGUCUUGAAAUGGUUCCAUUGUCGUCUUUGGCGUUUUUAUUGUGCAGUAUACGAUUGAGGCAACCUGAUCUAUGUCAGGUUUGA
This is a long non-coding RNA of Daphnia pulex (common water flea), 1072 nucleotides long. RefSeq lists it as uncharacterized. NCBI's taxonomy places the organism in Eukaryota, Metazoa, Arthropoda, Branchiopoda, Diplostraca, Daphniidae. The record is from RefSeq and is a predicted model, not a curated record. The transcript has 5 exons.